CACACACAGGCGGCAGACUCCGGCCCCGUUGAAGCACCGGAGCCCGGCAUGAAGGCCAGCGUGCGGAGGCACCGACCGGCGUGGUGGCCUGCGCGGCGGCCACUACGGCGGUGCGGAGCCCCGGCCAAGGCUUCGCGUUGCACCGCCCGGAGCAACCAUGUGCAGCUUCCGGCCUCCGGCCAUGGGCGUCUGGCCAGUGCCAGAUCACGCCACGGUGGUCCAAAUCCGGAUCCGGCCGUCGUGGACCCAGAUUCGGCAGAACGGGCGCACAGCCAAGCACCAUGGCUCCCGGAGACGAAUCUCAUCGGAUGCCGCAGGCAGCAGAGGGUGCUGUUAUGCGGGUAUCGAGCAAUCCGUCUGCACGUGGAUAGAUAGAAGAGUGAUUCAAAUGCUGGAGUUAUUCGAUCUGGCAACUAGCUGCUGAUUUACACGAUGUGACCCCUUUCAUUCAACCUGCACUUGCUGAUUCUUUCUUAUUUGUGCAGUUCAUCUUGCUUUUGCAGCAACAAUUUGACUGCUUUUGAUCUCUCAUGCUACAGUGCCUUGGAUUUGGUUGAGCAGUAAUUUCAGUUCUCCACGAAAGAUCUCCCCACGAAUCUAUUUUGUUUUGCUUUCAGUGCGGCAGCUCGAUUUGUACUUCCUGGUUUGCUCUGUCCUGCUGGUUCGACAGUUUAAUUUGGUAACAGCAGCUGCAUCUCAACCAUCAGGCAAUAGAAACAGAAGCCGGGCUACUGAUUGGCCCUGUGCGCUUAGCAUCUACAAGCGGUGUGCAACUAUCAUCAGUUCUAUCUGUCAAAACCUUGUGAGUCAUUCUUUUUAUCUCAUCCACAGGUGCAGCAGCGACAGCAGCAUAUCAGCAGUUUUACUACAUCAUCACUUUGCACUUUGCAAUGCAACUCGAGCUACAUUCAGAGCACGCAUCAUCUCAUCAUAAAUUUAAUCAUUGUGAAAUAUCAUUUUAUGCUAUACUGAUGCAAUCAUGCAACUGUUGGUCACAUUAUUUAAUCACUGCUUGCUUGCUUUGGCUGGUCAUUAUUUGAAUUGAUUAGCUUUUUCACUAAAUGAACUUGAGCUCCUUUUGUAUGGCUUGUGCAUGUUACAUGUAUGGUUAAACUAAUCAAUUAUUGAUGUCAGGCCAUUGAGUUUAUAACUGUGCUAUUCCAGACUUACGGUAGUAUGGCAACCUUUCAUUUUUGAAUGUUUUAAGUAACGGCCAACUGCUAAUUAAUUUAGUAUCUUUCAUAUCUGAUCUGCAUACUUGCCCUUACUACUUCUUACAUAGUGAUUAGGAGCUUUCAAAUCAGUAAUCUUUGCUCAGUCUUUCUGCUUAUUAAAUUAAACAGUUACUGUUCAUCUGGUGGUUGCUGCAGUAAAGUAAUUACGUACAUAACUUUUGCAUGCUCAUUAGUUUAAUUCUCUUCCUUGAUCAAGUACACUCACACAUUGCUAAGCAUACUGGUAGUUGAUUAUGUGAAUGAUAAAGUUAGCUUGUUGGUAUUUGGUUCUGAUCAUGCUCUUAUUAUUUUUCUUUCUUGUAGUGUCAUCCUACUGAAGCAUUACGGCUGAAGACUUGAAGCUGGAUGAUUGCAUAUGGACUAUGGAGCAAUGGAAGUGUGAGAUUGUAAAGUAAAUUAGUUAAAAUAAUAUAAAAUUAAUGUGUGAUUCAAGUCAGUUUUGAAUUUAAAUAGUUAAAACUGUAUUGGGCUAAAGCAACAAUAGUUCUGAAGCCAACCCCAUUUCUUUUGACUCUGCAAGUCAGCUUUAGUCAGUUUUGCAAGUCAGUUUUAGUCAUUUCUUUAAAAUAAUUUUGUUUUCAUGAAGAUACACUCAAUUUUGACUCUGCUUUAUGAGCAUCAAGUUUGUUAAUCAUUAUCAUAGCCAAACUAUUUCUCUCCAAAAUUCUAAUAAAUGUUUGGCAUGCCAAAAUGAUUAGGUUGUUACUUUUGGAGUUUUUAGUUUAUUCUUUUUACUAUCUGCUACCCAUGAUGGAACCUGAAUUGUUGACAUAGAGUGGUUUGUGCUAAGACCUGCUACCCAUGAUCCACAUCACAAGGAUUCUGCUGAUUAAAUUCUUAAUAGAUACUAGCUGGUUGCCCAUUGCUACGGGUCUAUACAAGGGACAUAUUUAGGGGAAAAAGCUUCAAUAAUAUGUCUCUCUUUUUAAAUAAUGUCUGUAAAUAUGUCUCUUUUUAACCCGUAGCAACUGUGAUCAUUUCAAUUUAUGACUCUGGUUAGUUCUUAAAACCUUUCUUUUCACCCGUGGCAUUGCACGAGCAAUCAACUAUUGAUCUAUUGUCCAUUUAUUAUUUGCACAGGAAGAAAGGAAGAAGAGAAAGGAGGCUGAGACGAAAGCUAAGCUUGACGUUAUUGAAGCCAAGCAACUACAUAGAGGAGUUAAAGCCUUAGAAGAAAGGGGGGAAAAUCUAUGAGGCUGCCCUGUGGCACAGCCACCUGGUGAGCUAUCUGCGCUGAUGCCUCUCUACCUCCUGAUAAAUAUGUUCCCAAGUUUAAAUGUGAUGCAGCCAUCAGUAUUUGGUACGCCAUGCAACAAGGAAUUUUCUUUCAACCUAAAUAGAUUAUCAUCUCAUAUCAUGACAUUCUCUGAACUCCAAAUUAAAAGGUGAGUUGGUUUAAUUGCUGCUUUAUUUAGCUUCUGCUUACUGCUUACCGCUGAGUACUUAGUUUGACACUUAGUUUUUGAACCUGGGCUGAACAACUUGAGCUUAUGUGUAUGAAGAUCCAUGCGGCAAAUGCAUGCAAGGUGACUCAUGUGAAACUCUCAGCGUCAAAGGGAGUUGUUCCUCUUUACAUAUAGAGAACUGCGAGUUGAACAUCGUUUCUAUGAGAGUGCUGGUUUCCUGAAAAUUUUUGUUACUAAUUUGGUUCAUUUGGUUGUUUGAUCAGGUGGCCUCAUCUUCCGCUGCAGGUGAGAUAGGAGAUUUACUUUGAUUUCCGGAAGCAGAGGUUCAUUUAUUCAGCAGCGAGGGAACUUUUUAAACUCCGGGCAUUAUACCAAGGGCACUGCUUAAUGGUUAGGAACUGAGGCUAAGAUUAACACCUCUGUAUAAGUGGGGUAGAAGCAUGUAAAACUCUAUAUUUGAUGCCUAUAUUGCACCGGCUUAUAUUUAUGAUGUUCUACCCCUCAUUGCGGGAUGCAAGAGAUCGUCGAAUAUGCUAAUACUUAGUGAUGAUAUA
Panicum virgatum (switchgrass) is the source of this 3195-nucleotide long non-coding RNA. RefSeq lists it as uncharacterized. The record is from RefSeq and is a predicted model, not a curated record. Lineage: Eukaryota; Viridiplantae; Streptophyta; Magnoliopsida; Poales; Poaceae. The transcript is spliced from 2 exons.